This 1342-nucleotide unclassified non-coding RNA is filed under the name uncultured fungus. Its description in RNAcentral is "sequence contains 18S rRNA gene, ITS1, 5.8S rRNA gene, ITS2, 28S rRNA gene". The stretch from base 406 to 1342 matches the Rfam family "Eukaryotic large subunit ribosomal RNA", at positions 1 to 961 of the family's 3401-position model. The record is from RNAcentral. Lineage: Eukaryota; Fungi.
AGAUGGAUCAUUCACAGUUACACUGUCCAACUAUGGUCACAUGCAUGCAUGCAUGCAUGUCAAAAACACACGAACUUAAGGCAAUUGGUCAAUCAUUCUAAGUCAAAUAAUCAUUACUAUAAAUUCACGACUUUCAGCGAUGGAUGUCUCGGAUCUCGUAACGAUGAAGGACGCAGCUAGCUGCGAUACGCAGUGUGACUUGCAAACUUCUGAGAAUCAUUAGAUUUUUGAACGCAAAAGGCACUCUUGGGCUCUGCUCAGGAGUAUGCUCACUUCAGUGCUUUAUAUGUUUGUUAUCUUAAUUGGAAGGUAACGUGGAUAGACGCUGUGCAAACGGCCUCUGAAGUCGACUGGUCUAUGACUCUUUGGUGACCCCUUAGUAGCCAUGGCCAAUUAUAUUCAAACAAGCCUGAAUUUGAGCAAGGCUACCCGCUGAAUUUAAGCAUAUUAUUAAGCGGAGGAAAAGAAACUAACUAGGAUUCCCUCAGUAACGGCGAGUGAACAGGGAAGAGCUCAAACUGAGAAUCGGCAGUUCACUGUCGAAUUGUAGUCUCACGAAAUGAUGCCUGUGUUUAUUCUAGGCUAAGUCUCUUGGAAAAGAGUACCAAAGAGGGUGAGAGUCCCGUCUUUGCCUAGAGCUAUUCACGUUCGGUUCAUUUUCAAAGAGUCGCGUUCCUUGAGAUUGGAGCGCUAAGUGGGUGAUAAAUUUCAUCUAAAGCUAAAUACUAACGAGAUUCCGAUAGCAUACAAGUACCGUGAGGGAAAGAUGAAAAGGACUUUGAAAAGAGAGUUAAAAGGAACUGAAAUUGCUGAAAGGUAAGCGGAGAGUUUUGACUGUCUAGCAAUUCUCUGUGUCUGACUUGGUUUUGGCUGAGCUUGGGCGCUAGAGUUCUGCAAUGACUUUGGAAGUGGUUUUUCUUUCUGAGUAAAGUAUUGAUUGGAUCCCAUUGGGCUAACUUCUUUACUGGUUUUGGAUUGAGAGAUCUUAGCUCUAUCGUGCCACUUAAGUGGACUGCGUUAUAGAUUCCAGAGAUGUCGUUUCUCUCCGUCCCGUCUUGAAACACGGACCAAGGAGUCUAACUUAUAUGCGAGUACAAGGGUGUCAAACCCACGUGCGAAAUGAAAGUAAUUGUUAGGAUGGGCAACCUGCACUAACACCCGAUUCUCAAAUUGAGGUUGAGCAUAUAGGUUAGGACCCGAAAGAUGGUGAACUAUGCCUGAGUAGGGUGAAGCCAGAGGAAACUCUGGUGGAAGCUCGUAGCGAUACUGACGUGCAAAUCGUUCGUCAAACUUGGGUAUAGGGGCGAAAGACUAAUCGAACCAUCUAGUAGCUGGUUCCCUC